RNAcentral lists this long non-coding RNA (875 nucleotides) under Malus domestica (apple). RNAcentral describes it as "long non-coding RNA (MDOM_LNC012190)". The record is from RNAcentral. Lineage: Eukaryota; Viridiplantae; Streptophyta; Magnoliopsida; Rosales; Rosaceae.
CCAUGGUUCAAACAAAUUUGAAACGGCCUAUCACAUAGCUCAAUUAUCGUAGGCUUAGGUUCAUAAUCCCCCUUUAAUUAAUUAACACUUUAACUAAUUAAUUUGAAUGCAACAUUUUAAUUUGGUUUUUGUAUCCAUAAAAUUGAUUUAAAUGGAGCUAAACAAAAUGAAAAUCCAAUUCUCAUUUAAAGAGACAAAACAAUUUUGUUCUCUACCUAAUUUGGGCCAUAAAGCAAUUAACCUCAACUUUUGGGCUAUAUUGCAAAAACAUAAACUUUUGGGGUCACUUUGUAAAAACACAAAAGUCCACUACUUCAUGUAAAUACAAGUAGAACCCAAAAUUUAAACAAUGCAAAAACUUCAUUAAAGGAACAAAACAAUUUGUCCUUUAGCGUUUUUGGACCUAAACGUAAAAACGUAAACUUUUGGGCCAAAGUGCAAAUACACAAAAGUAUCAAAACUUUAUGUAAUUGCAUAAAAGCCCCAAAAGUACUCCCACUUGAGGGAGGGCCGGUUUUGGAUAGGAGAAAUGAGUGAUGUGUGUGUUGAUUGCUAAGUUAGACAUAAAGCAUGCAAGUGGUGCAUGACAUAAAUGUCAUGCAAGUGGUGUGUGUGAAAGGGAAUUAAUCCUUACACACCCAUCACCAUUUCUUACACCAUUUAAACAAAUAUCUAACACAUUAAAUCAUUGGAAAAACAUAAAACAUAAACCUUAUGAAAUAAAUCAAAACUUUGAAUCAAAACACAAAACUUUUUGUUCUUGGCAAAAAUGUCAAGAACAAUGAAGAACAUUCAUGAAAAAACCCAAAAAUUUCCAUGAACAUUUUUACUCCAAAAACAUCCCAAAACCAUUCAAACUUUAGGGAAAUAACAUA